GGCGUGCUUAACACAUGCAAGUCGAACGAUGAAGCCUGUAACUUGUUGUGGGUGGAUUAGUGGCGAACGGGUGAGUAAUACGUGAGUAACCUGCCCUCCUUUUUGGGAUAAGCCUUGGAAACGGGGUCUAAUACCGGAUAUUCUGGCAUGCUCGCAUGGGUGUGUUGGGAAAGCUUUAUGUGAAGGGGGAUGGGCUCGCGGCCUAUCAGCUUGUUGGUGGGGUGAUGGCCUACCAAGGCGGUGACGGGUAGCCGGCCUGAGAGGGUGACCGGCCACAUUGGGACUGAGAUACGGCCCAGACUCCUACGGGAGGCAGCAGUGGGGGAUAUUGCACAAUGGGCGAAAGCCUGAUGCAGSGACGCCGCGUGGGGGAUGAAGGCUUUCGGGUUGUAAACCUCUUUCGCUAUCGAACAAGGCUCAUUUUUUGGUGGGUUGAGGGUAGGUGGAGAAGAAGCGCCGGC
This 461-nucleotide ribosomal RNA is filed under the name Actinomyces sp. F697. RNAcentral's name for it is "bacterial SSU rRNA". It matches the Rfam family "Bacterial small subunit ribosomal RNA", at positions 41 to 497 of the family's 1533-position model. Lineage: Bacteria; Bacillati; Actinomycetota; Actinomycetes; Actinomycetales; Actinomycetaceae. The record is from RNAcentral.